Molecule: ribosomal RNA, 498 nt
Filed under: uncultured bacterium
Lineage: Bacteria
Description: partial 16S ribosomal RNA
Rfam family: Bacterial small subunit ribosomal RNA
Source: RNAcentral
AGUGAACGCUGGCGGCAGGCCUAACACAUGCAAGUCGAGCGGCAGCGCGGGGCAACCUGGCGGCGAGCGGCGGACGGGUGAGGAAUACGUCGGAAUCUGCCUUUUUGUGGGGGAUAACGUAGGGAAACUUACGCUAAUACCGCAUACGACCUACGGGUGAAAGUGGGGGACCGCAAGGCCUCACGCAGAAAGAUGAGCCGACGUCCGAUUAGCUAGUUGGUGAGGUAAUGGCUGACCAAGGCGACGAUCGGUAGCUGGUCUGAGAGGAUGAUCAGCCACACUGGGACUGAGACACGGCCCAGACUCCUACGGGAGGCAGCAGUGGGGAAUAUUGGACAAUGGGCGCAAGCCUGAUCCAGCCAUGCCGCGUGUGUGAAGAAGGCCUUCGGGUUGUAAAGCACUUUUGUCCGGAAAGAAAUCCUGAAGAUUAAUACUCUUUGGGGAUGACGGUACCGGAAGAAUAAGCACCGGCUAACUUCGUGCCAGCCGCCGCCGUAA